RNAcentral lists this unclassified non-coding RNA (1176 nucleotides) under Rhizobium leguminosarum. RNAcentral describes it as "partial contains 16S ribosomal RNA, 16S-23S ribosomal RNA intergenic spacer, and 23S ribosomal RNA". The stretch from base 318 to 391 matches the Rfam family "tRNA". Lineage: Bacteria; Pseudomonadati; Pseudomonadota; Alphaproteobacteria; Hyphomicrobiales; Rhizobiaceae. The record is from RNAcentral.
GGUAAGACGACCGGCCUGAUCUUCGGAUCUCCCCGGUAUGAACCUUCCCGUGCUUUUUAGAACAUAGAUGGCACCAGUCAGGUGACCAUCGAAACGUAAUACGUCACAGAGACUUCGUGUCCUGAUGAUAUGGCGAGCUGCGCCGUCCACGUUUCUCUUUCUUCAAAAGGAUAUCGAACCAUGGGUUUGCGCUCGCGCGCUGUCGCACCUUCGGUGCUGCGCUCCGCGAGGGCGCCGGACGACCGGCGACGGCCUCUGGCCUGUAUGGGCGGCUCUUUCUGAGGUUUUGCUCAGGUUAGGCGUCAACGCAGAGAGAUGGGCCCGUAGCUCAGUUGGUUAGAGCACACGCUUGAUAAGCGUGGGGUCGGAAGUUCAAGUCUUCCCGGGCCCACCAUUUGCACCGGCAAAUGAGGUUUGCUGUAGCGAAUUGUGGUUUGUUUGGGUUUACCUGAUCCUGGCGGUUUGCUGUCAGGUGUUUGCGAUGGUUGGGGCUGUAGCUCAGCUGGGAGAGCACCUGCUUUGCAAGCAGGGGGUCAGCGGUUCGAUCCCGCUCAGCUCCACCAAUUCGCUUGGUGUCGAGACUGAGAGAUAUCCUUUGAAGAAAUAAAAGUUUUGCAUCGGCUUAGGCUGAUGCGUGUUCUGCAUACAUUGUGAAGAGAAGAUUGAUCUGGAGGCUUCCAGGUGUUUUGGGUUCUGCCCAAGGCGUCCGAGCCCAGUUCCUGUGAAUCCAUGGAUGGCCUAGCCGGCCGGAUGUGGGGGAGGAAUUGGAGGUAGGUAGGAAGCUUGUCGCUCUGGGCUGUCAGCGUAAACCGCGUAGCGGUUUAUCGCGUGUUGUUUGUUUAUCCUUAGGGAUGAGCAUCUGACGGACGGCUUGAUUACCGUUGCCUGACCGCGCGGUAUCGGAUCCAAUCUCGAGAAGCUGGUCUUAAGACAGGCUGCAAGUGGGCUGCUCGGCGUAGCUCCAAUAAAGCAGACCUGUCGAACACGUUAAUGGCAUCAAAGAUGGUCUGGGUUGUAAAAGGUAACCCUGGCCGCCGCAUCCCUUCGGGAUGUCGGCUAAGUGAUGAGCAUUGGCAAUGAGAACGAUUAAGUGUCGUAAGGGCAUUUGGUGGAUGCCUUGGCAUGCACAGGCGAUGAAGGACGUGAUACGCUGCGAAAAGCCGUGGGAGCUGCGAA